This 65-nucleotide transfer RNA is filed under the name Trissolcus japonicus. Its description in RNAcentral is "tRNA-Trp". The record is from RNAcentral. Lineage: Eukaryota; Metazoa; Arthropoda; Insecta; Hymenoptera; Scelionidae.
AAAACUUUAAGUUAAUUUAAACUGUUAAUCUUCAAAAUUAAAAAUAUUUUUUCAAAUAAGUUUUU